GAAAACCAAAUUUAACUAGCAAAUAAGCAGCAAACAGUGAGCAGUGACAGUGGGUUGACAACGGACAACACUGAUUUAUGAAGCCAAACACAGGAACAGUUAAAGAAUUAGAGUUGGUAGGGAAGAGAAGAGAGAGGAAGAUUGCCCAGAAAAAGAAAUUAUUGUUUGGAAUCUUUUUGAUAUGUGGGUCGAAAGUUGGUAUAAUCUUUGAAUUCCAUGACAUAGAUUGCUUCACUUCUCUUUCCGCUAAUUACUUUGAAUUAAGAAAUGAUUAAAAUCAAAUAUCAGCAGUCAUGUCUGAUCUUACCAUUAUAAUAUAUAUAUAUAUAUAUAUAUAUAUAUUAUGAGUUAGUUUACA
RNAcentral lists this long non-coding RNA (358 nucleotides) under Carica papaya (papaya). RNAcentral describes it as "long non-coding RNA (CPAP_LNC014741)". Lineage: Eukaryota; Viridiplantae; Streptophyta; Magnoliopsida; Brassicales; Caricaceae. The record is from RNAcentral.